This is a small nucleolar RNA of Rattus norvegicus (Norway rat), 129 nucleotides long. Ensembl annotates it as small nucleolar RNA SNORA17. NCBI's taxonomy places the organism in Eukaryota, Metazoa, Chordata, Mammalia, Rodentia, Muridae. The record is from Ensembl.
GCCAGCCAUAGAUGUGUUGCAGUUGUGGCUGCAUGGCAUGUGCAUCAGUAGGUGACAGAGAGGAAGGAGGCCAUGUCUACACUCACUGUUUUAAACUGUGAACAUGUGAAUGAUUAGUAGCCUACCACC